AAUCGCGCAUCAGCCACGGCGCGGUGAAUACGUUCCCGGGCCUUGUACACACCGCCCGUCAAGCCAUGAAAGCCGGGGGUACCUGAAGUCCGUAACCGUAAGGAGCGACCUAGGGCAAAACUGGUGACUGGGGCUAAGUCGUAACAAGGUACC
RNAcentral lists this ribosomal RNA (153 nucleotides) under uncultured bacterium. Its description in RNAcentral is "partial 16S ribosomal RNA". It matches the Rfam family "Bacterial small subunit ribosomal RNA", at positions 1340 to 1500 of the family's 1533-position model. The record is from RNAcentral.